GAUGAACGCUAGCGGGAGGCUUAACACAUGCAAGUCGAGGGGCAGCAUAGGGUAGCAAUACUCUGAUGGCGACCGGCAAACGGGUGAGUAACGCGUAUGCAACCUACCCUGUACAGGGGGAUAACCCGGAGAAAUUCGGACUAAUAUCCCGUAAUAAUAUCCGGAGGCAUCUUUGGAUAUUUAAAGUUCCGACGGUACGGGAUGGGCAUGCGUAACAUUAGCUGGUUGGUAAGGUAACGGCUUACCAAGGCUAUGAUGUUUAGGGGUCCUGAGAGGGUGGUCCCCCACACUGGUACUGAGACACGGACCAGACUCCUACGGGAGGCAGCAGUGAGGAAUAUUGGUCAAUGGGCGCAAGCCUGAACCAGCCAUCCCGCGUGCAGGAAGACGGCCCUAUGGGUUGUAAACUGCUUUUCCAGGGAGAGAAACUUACGCACGUGUUGCGUGACUGACGGUACCCUGGGAAUAAGCAUCGGCUAACUCCGUGCCAGCAGCCGCGGUAAAACCGAGAGUA
RNAcentral lists this ribosomal RNA (514 nucleotides) under uncultured bacterium. Its description in RNAcentral is "bacterial SSU rRNA". It matches the Rfam family "Bacterial small subunit ribosomal RNA", at positions 28 to 534 of the family's 1533-position model. The record is from RNAcentral.